GGAGGGUUGGCAGAGCGGUCGAUUGCACCGGCUUGGAAAGUCGGAGGGCCUUCACGGGUCCCAUCGGUUCGAAUCCGGUACCCUCCUCCA
This 90-nucleotide transfer RNA is filed under the name Epibacterium sp. DP7N7-1. RNAcentral's name for it is "tRNA-Ser". It matches the Rfam family "tRNA". From Rfam's summary of the family: Transfer RNA (tRNA) molecules are approximately 80 nucleotides in length. Their secondary structure includes four short double-helical elements and three loops (D, anti-codon, and T loops). Further hydrogen bonds mediate the characteristic L-shaped molecular structure. tRNAs have two regions of fundamental functional importance: the anti-codon, which is responsible for specific mRNA codon recognition, and the 3' end, to which the tRNAs corresponding amino acid is attached (by aminoacyl-tRNA synthetases). tRNAs cope with the degeneracy of the genetic code in two manners: having more than one tRNA (with a specific anti-codon) for a particular amino acid; and 'wobble' base-pairing, i.e. permitting non-standard base-pairing at the 3rd anti-codon position. Lineage: Bacteria; Pseudomonadati; Pseudomonadota; Alphaproteobacteria; Rhodobacterales; Roseobacteraceae. The record is from RNAcentral.